RNAcentral lists this ribosomal RNA (588 nucleotides) under uncultured bacterium. Its description in RNAcentral is "bacterial SSU rRNA". It matches the Rfam family "Bacterial small subunit ribosomal RNA", at positions 338 to 917 of the family's 1533-position model. The record is from RNAcentral.
CCUACGGGAGGCAGCAGUAGGGAAUCUUCGGCAAUGGACGAAAGUCUGACCGAGCAACGCCGCGUGAGUGAAGAAGGUUUUCGGAUCGUAAAACUCUGUUGUUAGAGAAGAACAAGGACGUUAGUAACUGAACGUCCUCUGACGGUAUCUAACCAGAAAGCCACGGCUAACUACGUGCCAGCAGCCGCGGUAAUACGUAGGUGGCAAGCGUUGUCCGGAUUUAUUGGGAGUAAAGCGAGCGCAGGCGGUUUCUUAAGUCUGAUGUGAAAGCCCCCGGCUCAACCGGGGAGGGUCAUUGGAAACUGGGAGACUUGAGUGCAGAAGAGGAGAGUGGAAUUCCAUGUGUAGCGGUGAAAUGCGUAGAUAUAUGGAGGAACACCAGUGGCGAAGGCGGCUCUCUGGUCUGUAACUGACGCUGAGGCUCGAAAGCGUGGGGAGCAAACAGGAUUAGAUACCCUGGUAGUCCACGCCGUAAACGAUGAGUGCUAAGUGUUGGAGGGUUUCCGCCCUUCAGUGCUGCAGCAAACGCAUUAAGCACUCCGCCUGGGGAGUACGACCGCAAGGUUGAAACUCAAAGGAAUUGACGGA